Molecule: transfer RNA, 67 nt
Filed under: Ninox novaeseelandiae (Morepork)
Lineage: Eukaryota; Metazoa; Chordata; Aves; Strigiformes; Strigidae
Description: tRNA-Ser
Source: RNAcentral
GAGGGGGGGAACCAACCAACAAGAGCUGCUAACUCCUGCAUCUGAGUAUGAACCCUCAGCCCCCUCA